RNAcentral lists this ribosomal RNA (252 nucleotides) under uncultured bacterium. RNAcentral describes it as "partial 16S ribosomal RNA". It matches the Rfam family "Bacterial small subunit ribosomal RNA", at positions 524 to 776 of the family's 1533-position model. The record is from RNAcentral.
CACGUAGGGCGCGAGCGUUGUCCGGAAUUAUUGGGCGUAAAGAGCUCGUAGGCGGCCUGUGCGUCCGCUGUGAAAGCCCGGGGCUUAACCCCGGGUCGGCAGUGGAUACGGGCAGGCUAGAGGUAGGUAGGGGAGAAUGGAAUUCCCGGUGUAGCGGUGAAAUGCGCAGAUAUCGGGAGGAACACCGGUGGCGAAGGCGGUUCUCUGGGCCUUACCUGACGCUGAGGAGCGAAAGCGUGGGGAGCGAACAGG